GAUGAACGCUGGCGGCGUGCCUAAUACAUGCAAGUCGAGCGAACGGACGAGAAGCUUGCUUUUCUGAUGUUAGCGGCGGACGGGUGAGUAACACGUGGAUAACCUACCUAUAAGACUGGGAUAACUUCGGGAAACCGGAGCUAAUACCGGAUAAUAUUUUGAACCGCAUGGUUCAAAAGUGAAAGACGGUCUUGCUGUCACUUAUAGAUGGAUCCGCGCUGCAUUAGCUAGUUGUUAGGGUAACGGCUUACCAAGGCAACGAUGCAUAGCCGACCUGAGAGGGUGAUCGGCCACACUGGAACUGAGACACGGUCCAGACUCCUACGGGAGGCAGCAGUAGGGAAUCUUCCGCAAUGGGCGAAAGCCUGACGGAGCCACGCCGCGUGAGUGAUGAAGGUCUUCGGAUUGUAAAACUCUUUUAUUAGGGAAGAACAUAUGUGUAAGUAUCUCUGCACAUCUUGACGGUACCUAAUCAGAAAGCCACGGCUAACUACGUG
RNAcentral lists this ribosomal RNA (497 nucleotides) under uncultured bacterium. RNAcentral's name for it is "partial 16S ribosomal RNA". It matches the Rfam family "Bacterial small subunit ribosomal RNA", at positions 28 to 507 of the family's 1533-position model. The record is from RNAcentral.